Molecule: unclassified non-coding RNA, 361 nt
Filed under: Hevea brasiliensis (rubber tree)
Lineage: Eukaryota; Viridiplantae; Streptophyta; Magnoliopsida; Malpighiales; Euphorbiaceae
Source: RNAcentral
GAAAAAGUAACAUACUGCAUAAGCAUUUUCAGUACAACACAAGUCUUUAUACUCCAAAUGAAACUACUCGCAUGCAUAGAUCAGCUAGUAUGACUGUAAAUAACAAAGUGUCACAUAACCAUCAAAAAACAAAUUGCAAACCAAGCAAUAUCCUCAACAAGCCACCUACCAUACUAGAUAACAAAACACCAUAGUAUAUAGACGAAAUACACCACAAAACCAAUGACCAGAAGAAACACCUUAGAAGCACUUCCUGUGGACGAUGGCUGGACCAGAUUCAUCGAACUCCGCCUUCGAUAUCCACAUCUGUUGGAAAGUGCUCAAGGAAGCUAAGAUUGACCCUCCAAUCCAGACACUGUAC